UACAGAGAGUGCGAACGUUGUUCGGAAUCACUGGGCUUAAAGAGCACGUAGGCGGCGCUGCAAGUGUCGGGUGAAAUCCCACGGCUCACCCGUGGAACUGCCCGGCAGACUGUGGUGCUAGAGUGUGGUAGGGGAGAGCGGAAUUCCCGGUGUAGCAGUGAAAUGCGUAGAGAUCGGGAGGAACAUCUGUGGCGAAGGCGGCCAUCUGGACCAGCACUGACACUGAGGCACGAAAGCGUGGGGAGCAAACAGG
This 253-nucleotide ribosomal RNA is filed under the name uncultured bacterium. RNAcentral describes it as "partial 16S ribosomal RNA". It matches the Rfam family "Bacterial small subunit ribosomal RNA", at positions 524 to 776 of the family's 1533-position model. The record is from RNAcentral.